Molecule: long non-coding RNA, 719 nt
Filed under: Felis catus (domestic cat)
Lineage: Eukaryota; Metazoa; Chordata; Mammalia; Carnivora; Felidae
Description: lncRNA (ENSFCAG00000045677.1)
Source: RNAcentral
CAGGCUUCAGGAAAGAAGAAGAGAAUUUUCUGACCCAAGAGGCCUACCUGGCCCUCUGCUACAGUAAAGCACAACAAACUGGGGGGAAGAGGCUUGGUUUGUUUGCCAGGCUUCAUUUGACCAAGCGAUGAUGGAGGUUUCUCUGGUGGUCACCAAAUGGGAGGAAGGCAGGCAGAUGCAAAAAACAAAAAACAAAAAACCCGGCACACUAAUUGUCCUGGUGUUCACCGCGACCUCUCUUCCCCCUGUCACGGAGCAUCAGACAGGUAUCCCAAAGGAAAAACCGGAUGUUUGACAUUGGGUCUGGAAUCUUAUCUGCCCUGUCUUGUUCUCAACAUUAAUCGGCACCAUAAAACUCUGCCAGUUGGGCCCUGUGCGUCUCAGAAUUGGUCAUCAUUCUUACUCGAACGAGGCAGAAGUUUACCUUAUCUUAGAGAACAAAAGGUCAGGGAUGAAAUGACCUCAGAAAAUUAGCCAGAUACAAAAAUACAACUGGAAUGUUUAGUCUCUUUUAGAAAAUACUGUUUUCGAGUGCCUUAAGAGCCAUUUCAUUUCAUUUCAUUUCAUUUCAUUCAGAGCCAUUAAUGAGCUAAUUAUCUUUUUACUAAAGGAGACCCGUAGGACUUCAACUUAGCAAUACUUAGUUGGUCAUCAGUUUGGGUGAUUAUAUGUAACAAAGUUGUGUUGUUUUUCAAGCUGUUCUGUCAUUCAGAUUCUUC